This 31-nucleotide non-coding RNA is filed under the name Rattus norvegicus (Norway rat). The record is from RNAcentral. Lineage: Eukaryota; Metazoa; Chordata; Mammalia; Rodentia; Muridae.
UAAUAAUUUGUUCCAAUUUGUCCCUUUGAGU